RNAcentral lists this ribosomal RNA (2923 nucleotides) under Klebsiella pneumoniae. RNAcentral's name for it is "bacterial LSU rRNA". It matches the Rfam family "Bacterial large subunit ribosomal RNA". Lineage: Bacteria; Pseudomonadati; Pseudomonadota; Gammaproteobacteria; Enterobacterales; Enterobacteriaceae. The record is from RNAcentral.
GGGUUGUGAGGUUAAGCGACUAAGCGUACACGGUGGAUGCCCUGGCAGUCAGAGGCGAUGAAGGACGUGCUAAUCUGCGAAAAGCGUCGGUAAGGUGAUAUGAACCGUUAUAACCGGCGAUGUCCGAAUGGGGAAACCCAGUGUGAUUCGUCACACUAUCGUUAACUGAAUACAUAGGUUAACGAGGCGAACCGGGGGAACUGAAACAUCUAAGUACCCCGAGGAAAAGAAAUCAACCGAGAUUCCCCCAGUAGCGGCGAGCGAACGGGGAGCAGCCCAGAGUCUGAAUCAGCUUGUGUGUUAGUGGAACGGUCUGGAAAGUCCGACGGUACAGGGUGAUAGUCCCGUACACCAAAAUGCACAGGCUGUGAACUCGAAGAGUAGGGCGGGACACGUGGUAUCCUGUCUGAAUAUGGGGGGACCAUCCUCCAAGGCUAAAUACUCCUGACUGACCGAUAGUGAACCAGUACCGUGAGGGAAAGGCGAAAAGAACCCCGGCGAGGGGAGUGAAAAAGAACCUGAAACCGUGUACGUACAAGCAGUGGGAGCACCUUCGGGUGUGACUGCGUACCUUUUGUAUAAUGGGUCAGCGACUUAUAUUCUGUAGCAAGGUUAACCGUAUAGGGGAGCCGCAGGGAAACCGAGUCUUAACUGGGCGUUAAGUUGCAGGGUAUAGACCCGAAACCCGGUGAUCUAGCCAUGGGCAGGUUGAAGGUUGGGUAACACUAACUGGAGGACCGAACCGACUAAUGUUGAAAAAUUAGCGGAUGACUUGUGGCUGGGGGUGAAAGGCCAAUCAAACCGGGAGAUAGCUGGUUCUCCCCGAAAGCUAUUUAGGUAGCGCCUCGUGAACUCAUCUUCGGGGGUAGAGCACUGUUUCGGCUAGGGGGUCAUCCCGACUUACCAACCCGAUGCAAACUACGAAUACCGAAGAAUGUUAUCACGGGAGACACACGGCGGGUGCUAACGUCCGUCGUGAAGAGGGAAACAACCCAGACCGCCAGCUAAGGUCCCAAAGUCAUGGUUAAGUGGGAAACGAUGUGGGAAGGCACAGACAGCCAGGAUGUUGGCUUAGAAGCAGCCAUCAUUUAAAGAAAGCGUAAUAGCUCACUGGUCGAGUCGGCCUGCGCGGAAGAUGUAACGGGGCUAAACCAUGCACCGAAGCUGCGGCAGCGACACUAUGUGUUGUUGGGUAGGGGAGCGUUCUGUAAGCCUGCGAAGGUGACCUGUGAGGGUUGCUGGAGGUAUCAGAAGUGCGAAUGCUGACAUAAGUAACGAUAAAGCGGGUGAAAAGCCCGCUCGCCGGAAGACCAAGGGUUCCUGUCCAACGUUAAUCGGGGCAGGGUGAGUCGACCCCUAAGGCGAGGCCGAAAGGCGUAGUCGAUGGGAAACAGGUUAAUAUUCCUGUACUUGGUGUUACUGCGAAGGGGGGACGGAGAAGGCUAUGUUAGCCGGGCGACGGUUGUCCCGGUUUAAGCAUGUAGGCUGGUUAUCCAGGCAAAUCCGGAUAAUCAAGGCUGAGGUGUGAUGACGAGGCACUACGGUGCUGAAGUAACAAAUGCCCUGCUUCCAGGAAAAGCCUCUAAGCAUCAGGUAACAUCAAAUCGUACCCCAAACCGACACAGGUGGUCAGGUAGAGAAUACCAAGGCGCUUGAGAGAACUCGGGUGAAGGAACUAGGCAAAAUGGUGCCGUAACUUCGGGAGAAGGCACGCUGGUGUGUAGGUGAAGCCCCUGCGGGUGGAGCUGAGACCAGUCGAAGAUACCAGCUGGCUGCAACUGUUUAUUAAAAACACAGCACUGUGCAAACACGAAAGUGGACGUAUACGGUGUGACGCCUGCCCGGUGCCGGAAGGUUAAUUGAUGGGGUUAUCCGUAAGGAGAAGCUCUUGAUCGAAGCCCCGGUAAACGGCGGCCGUAACUAUAACGGUCCUAAGGUAGCGAAAUUCCUUGUCGGGUAAGUUCCGACCUGCACGAAUGGCGUAAUGAUGGCCAGGCUGUCUCCACCCGAGACUCAGUGAAAUUGAACUCGCUGUGAAGAUGCAGUGUACCCGCGGCAAGACGGAAAGACCCCGUGAACCUUUACUAUAGCUUGACACUGAACAUUGAGCCUUGAUGUGUAGGAUAGGUGGGAGGCUUUGAAGCGUGGACGCCAGUCUGCGUGGAGCCAACCUUGAAAUACCACCCUUUAAUGUUUGAUGUUCUAACGUUGGCCCCUGACCGGGGUUGCGGACAGUGUCUGGUGGGUAGUUUGACUGGGGCGGUCUCCUCCCAAAGCGUAACGGAGGAGCACGAAGGUUAGCUAAUCCUGGUCGGACAUCAGGAGGUUAGUGCAAUGGCAUAAGCUAGCUUGACUGCGAGCGUGACGGCGCGAGCAGGUGCGAAAGCAGGUCAUAGUGAUCCGGUGGUUCUGAAUGGAAGGGCCAUCGCUCAACGGAUAAAAGGUACUCCGGGGAUAACAGGCUGAUACCGCCCAAGAGUUCAUAUCGACGGCGGUGUUUGGCACCUCGAUGUCGGCUCAUCACAUCCUGGGGCUGAAGUAGGUCCCAAGGGUAUGGCUGUUCGCCAUUUAAAGUGGUACGCGAGCUGGGUUUAGAACGUCGUGAGACAGUUCGGUCCCUAUCUGCCGUGGGCGCUGGAGAAUUGAGGGGGGCUGCUCCUAGUACGAGAGGACCGGAGUGGACGCAUCACUGGUGUUCGGGUUGUCAUGCCAAUGGCACUGCCCGGUAGCUAAAUGCGGAAGAGAUAAGUGCUGAAAGCAUCUAAGCACGAAACUUGCCCCGAGAUGAGUUCUCCCUGAGACUAUAAGUCUCCUGAAGGAACGUUAAAGACGAUGACGUUGAUAGGCCGGGUGUGUAAGCGCAGCGAUGCGUUGAGCUAACCGGUACUAAUGAACCGUGAGGCUUAACCUUACAACGCCGAAG